GAAGAGACAGCGCCGCCGGCCGUGGGGAGCGGACGCAGUGAUUUACUCCCCUCCCCUCAGCAACCCCCACACCCAGCACCAGGCCCCCAGGACUCUUCUUUCAGCUGAACUCCCUGGGAACAAGUCAGUUGAACUGACCACUGAACUCACAUUUCUGGACCCGAGGAGCCUAGUCCUCUCACAUCCUCACCUGGCUGAGCCGCAGUAGUUCUUCAGUGGCAAGCUUUAUGUCCUGACCCAGCUAAAGCUGCCAGUUGAAGAACUGUUGCCCUCUGCCCCUGGCUUCAAGGAUGAAGAGGAGGAGGAGUUGCUUUCUACAUCAUCUGGAAGGUGACAGACAUGGGGCUGGAAAGGUCUGAACAGCAGGAGUGAUGAUACCUUUUGGGAACAGAAACCUUGCUCGGUUGGAGAGCCUUCUCCUAGGCUGACCCAGCAAGGGAGCAGUUUUAGAUCAGAGACAUUGGCUGAAUUGGGGAAUAGAAGGCUUGAACAACACAAGGUUACUUGGUCUUUAUGCGACAAUGGGGAGUAGUGGAGAGAAGAAAACUAUCUACUUCUUUAUCCAGAUUUCCUUUUUGACCCUUCUUAUAUCCUAUUCUUUACUGAACUUUCCAGAUGAGGUACAAAAGUAAGUUUACUCUUCAGAGAAGAGAGUAGUCAUCCCUCUGCUCUUACUUUCCCUGUAUUUCCUUGGAGCACUCUAGAUUCAGGACGACUUACCUAGAUCUGGGACUCUUAGAUUUCCUAUCUCAGCUUCUCAACCUGUGAGAUGGGGAAUCACACAGAUGAGUGUGCAUGAAGGAAUCAGAGCCCCACCUGUGUAGACUCAGAGCCUGGGUUCUUUUCCCCCACA
Long non-coding RNA from Carlito syrichta (Philippine tarsier), 853 nucleotides. RefSeq lists it as uncharacterized. NCBI's taxonomy places the organism in Eukaryota, Metazoa, Chordata, Mammalia, Primates, Tarsiidae. The record is from RefSeq and is a predicted model, not a curated record. The transcript has 3 exons.